GAAUCUUAUCAAGGUUCACAUGUCCAAGUUUAAGAUGCCACAAACUUCUUCUCUAGCCCUUUUAGGUUUUGAGGUAUUCCCGCUUGCAAUACAGUGCAUCCCACUAUUCGUCUCUAGGUGAAAAAGUCCCUCUAUCAUAUCACCAUGAGAGAUAAUACGACCGUUCAAGUAUAAAGUGCAACUCAUUUUGUCAAACAAUACUGAGUGCCCA
RNAcentral lists this long non-coding RNA (211 nucleotides) under Malus domestica (apple). RNAcentral's name for it is "long non-coding RNA (MDOM_LNC006002)". The record is from RNAcentral. Lineage: Eukaryota; Viridiplantae; Streptophyta; Magnoliopsida; Rosales; Rosaceae.